UACAGAGGUCUCGAGCGUUAAUCGGAGUCACUGGGCUUAAAGGGUGCGUAGGCGGCGCUGCAAGUGCCUUGUGAAAUCCCACGGCUCAACCGUGGAAUUGCUCGGCAGACUGCGGCGCUUGAGGUCGGUAGGGGUCGCUGGAACUCUAGGUGGAGCGGUGAAAUGCGUAGAUAUCUAGAGGAACGCCAAAGGUGAAGACAGGCGACUGGGCCGAUUCUGACGCUGAGGCACGAAAGCGUGGGGAGCGAACGGG
RNAcentral lists this ribosomal RNA (253 nucleotides) under uncultured bacterium. Its description in RNAcentral is "partial 16S ribosomal RNA". It matches the Rfam family "Bacterial small subunit ribosomal RNA", at positions 524 to 776 of the family's 1533-position model. The record is from RNAcentral.